Molecule: ribosomal RNA, 497 nt
Filed under: uncultured bacterium
Lineage: Bacteria
Description: partial 16S ribosomal RNA
Rfam family: Bacterial small subunit ribosomal RNA
Source: RNAcentral
GAUGAACGCUGGCGGCGUGCCUAAUACAUGCAAGUCGAGCGAACAGACGAGGAGCUUGCUCCUCUGACGUUAGCGGCGGACGGGUGAGUAACACGUGGAUAACCUACCUAUAAGACUGGGAUAACUUCGGGAAACCGGAGCUAAUACCGGAUAAUAUAUUGAACCGCAUGGUUCAAUAGUGAAAGACGGUUUUGCUGUCACUUAUAGAUGGAUCCGCGCCGCAUUAGCUAGUUGGUAAGGUAACGGCUUACCAAGGCGACGAUGCGUAGCCGACCUGAGAGGGUGAUCGGCCACACUGGAACUGAGACACGGGCCAGACUCCUACGGGAGGCAGCAGUAGGGAAUCUUCCGCAAUGGGCGAAAGCCUGACGGAGCAACGCCGCGUGAGUGAUGAAGGUCUUCGGAUCGUAAAACUCUGUUAUUAGGGAAGAACAAAUGUGUAAGUAACUAUGCACGUCUUGACGGUACCUAAUCAGAAAGCCACGGCUAACUACGUG